RNAcentral lists this transfer RNA (75 nucleotides) under Cordylochernes scorpioides. RNAcentral's name for it is "tRNA-Ser". Lineage: Eukaryota; Metazoa; Arthropoda; Arachnida; Pseudoscorpiones; Chernetidae. The record is from RNAcentral.
UGUCAAGGGAUGGGAAUCGAACCCACGACCUUCCGCUCUCCGGGCAGAUGCCAUGACCACUAGGCUACCCUGGAC